Molecule: long non-coding RNA, 528 nt
Organism: Aegilops tauschii subsp. strangulata
Lineage: Eukaryota; Viridiplantae; Streptophyta; Magnoliopsida; Poales; Poaceae
Source: RefSeq, a predicted model, not a curated record
ACUCGGGCAGAACACGCACCCACUAGGCGCACGAUUUUUCUCAACAACAAAAGACCCUAGUUCGCACGAACUCUCACAGCCGCCGACCGAUCCACGGCUCCACGCACCUGCACGAACUCACGCUCGCGCCGCCGCCUCUCUUCUCAGCCGCCGACCAGGCUCGAGGCCGCCGCCGUCUACCUGUCGCGGGCCGCCGCCGUGGAGCCGUCCACCGACCGCGGCCGUUCCCCCACUUCCCCAGACCCCAGCCUCCAGGCAGAGGCAGCCCCUCCGCGGCUCCGCCCCAGUCUGCUCCCCUAGUCCCGGUCUCCGCAACUGUUCCCGGGCGCGGUGCGCCGUUCGCCGCCGAGCGUCGUUCCCUACUUCCCUCCUUACCAAAAUAGAAGUUGAGGAAUAAGAUGAGAGACGAUUGGCUGAAUCACACGAUGGUUUGCUGUAUUGACCGAGAUGUAUUUGAAAGUAGGGUCUAUCUAGGACACGUCUAGAUGUGAUGUCACAUCUAAGCUGAUGUCCACUCUGUUUAUGAUC